Molecule: ribosomal RNA, 548 nt
Filed under: uncultured Glomeromycotina
Lineage: Eukaryota; Fungi; Glomeromycota
Description: SSU rRNA
Rfam family: Eukaryotic small subunit ribosomal RNA
Source: RNAcentral
UUGGAGGGCAAGUCUGGUGCCAGCAGCCGCGGUAAUUCCAGCUCCAAUAGCGUAUAUUAAAGUUGUUGCAGUUAAAAAGCUCGUAGUUGAAUUUCGGGGUUAGUAGGUUGGUCAUGCCACUGGUAUGUACUGGUCUCACUGAUUCCUCCUUCCUGAUGAGCCGUAAUGCCAUUAAUUUGGUGUUGCGAGGAAUCUGGACUGUUACUUUGAAAAAAUUAGAGUGUUUAAAGCAAGCUAACGCUUGAAUACAUUAGCAUGGAAUAAUGAAAUAGGACGUUCGAUCCUAUUUUGUUGGUUUCUAGGAUUGACGUAAUGAUUAAUAGGGAUAGUUGGGGGCAUUAGUAUUCAAUUGUCAGAGGUGAAAUUCUUGGAUUUAAUGAAGACUAACUACUGCGAGAGCAUUUGCCAAGGAUGUUUUCAUUAAUCAAGAACGAAAGUUAGGGGAUCGAAGACGAUCAGAUACCGUCGUAGUCUUAACCAUAAACAAUGCCGACUAGGGAUCGGAUGAUGUUAAUUUUUUAAUGACUCAUUCGGCGCCUUACGGAAAC